CCAUCCCGAACACGACCGUUAAGCCCUCCAGCGCCGAUGGUACUUGGACCGCAGGGUCCUGGGAGAGUAGGACGUCGCCAAGC
RNAcentral lists this ribosomal RNA (83 nucleotides) under Paenibacillus peoriae. The record is from RNAcentral. Lineage: Bacteria; Bacillati; Bacillota; Bacilli; Caryophanales; Paenibacillaceae.